GGCGGCGGGGCGGCCUGGAUCUGUGUGGCACGCUGUGAGGGCGGGGUUGGGCUGAGCGUCCUGCUUGCAUAAAGGUACCAAGGCUAAGGCAGAUCGCCCUGAGUUUUCUGCAGCAGAUAAAUGACCAUAGGGAGAAACUGCUCACAGACAACCCGCAUCUGCUCUGCACAGACUCACCUCCAUUUACAGAAAUAAGUGCACUGGCAAGGGCUUGACUCGUGUCAUCACCCAAGGUGAUGUUUAUACAGUACGUUCCAGGUUCAUCAAAAGCUCUCCUAAUGGUAACAACAAAGUCAACCAGUGGAUUUUCAGCUUGACUUUCUGUCAUCUGGAUGCUUGUCAUCUGAAUAAUAUUUACCUCAAGGAUUC
This is a long non-coding RNA of Meleagris gallopavo (turkey), 369 nucleotides long. RefSeq lists it as uncharacterized. The record is from RefSeq and is a predicted model, not a curated record. Lineage: Eukaryota; Metazoa; Chordata; Aves; Galliformes; Phasianidae.